CCAAUGCAUGAAAGGAGAUGUUAGCAUCCCCCUUGGUAAGAAUGGAAGAGGUAUUAGUGACCUGGAUAAACCCAUAUGGUUAAGGCAGUGGUUGUCAACCUGUGGGUCCCCAGAUGUUU
Molecule: small nuclear RNA, 119 nt
Organism: Anolis carolinensis (green anole)
Lineage: Eukaryota; Metazoa; Chordata; Lepidosauria; Squamata; Anolidae
Source: Ensembl